This is a long non-coding RNA of Gadus morhua (Atlantic cod), 5062 nucleotides long. The record is from Ensembl. Lineage: Eukaryota; Metazoa; Chordata; Actinopteri; Gadiformes; Gadidae.
CAUAGAGAGAAAGAAACGAGAAGGUCCAUAUCCCACAGUUCCGGUCACUGAAUUAUCUCCCAGGAUUACCGACAACUUUUUCCUCUCCUAAGGGUGUUGAAGCUUCACGUCCAUUGAAGACAUACAAAUUAAUCAUGUGCAUGUGACUAUUUUUAAUUUUGAAAAAAUGUCUUUAAAACGUGAUUUGAGAUCCCUUGGUUUUGAUCCGUCUCACAAAAAUUGUUUAGCCGGAGAGGAAUUAACCAAGGUGUAUUUGAAGCAGCGCAGAUCAGUCCUGGAGAAAGCACUGCAUGAAGAAUCACCUUUUCCACGUCUUGAAGAAAUGUCAAAACCAGAGGCAUAUGUCGUGGAGAAUAACGACAAGCUUACCAUACAGUGUCAUUUUUGUGGCAACCACAUGGCCAUGGCAACACUUCCUCCUCCUUUCCAACUCGUCAUGCCUAGUGAAGGAAGAGAAGCAAAGUCAGUGGAGAGCAGAGAUGCCGCUGUCCAAGUGGAUCUGCCGCCUACAACGAUGCUAAUGUUAAAGACCAGUAACAAGGAACACGACUCGGCCGGCCGCAGUCCUCAUGGGAACACCACAACCGGGCGCACCACGGCCGGAACCGCCACGGCGUGGUACGCCACUGUCGGGGGCCCCGCGGCUGGGUACCCCAUGGCCGGGUGCCCGCCAGCCUUUCUGAUGGACCCCAGCCCAUCUUCCAACUCAUCUCUGUCCCCACCUGGAUGGAACACCUCUGCUGGGACCACUGUUGGGAGAGGUGUGUCCCAAUGGAACACGUCUUCGCUAAAUGAAUCGGUGACCAAGCAGCACCAGGAGGCCCAACUGCCCCCAGUCGACCCAGUCCGAUCCACUACUCCCAUCUGCAUCUCCUCCUCUUCCUCCUCGGCUUCCUCCAGCCCCUCCUCAUCGCCCCGCCCCCACUCCUCGUCCACGUUCCUCCCAGUCACUCUUCCCAACCUCUAUACUUCCCUGACGCAAACCAAGAAGGCCCUGACGCAAACCAAGAAGGACCUGCCGCGACUAAAGAGGAUCCUGCCCAAACCCAGAACUGGCCUGCAAAGCCCCGGGCCCCCAACCCUGAGCCCCCAAUCCUGCACCUCUCUGGGCCUCCGAGCACCUCCCUCUCCCCUGUUUUCCUCCCCCCCUAGGACCAGCAGCCUUGACUUGGAGGAGGGGGUGGACCUCACCCCUCCUGGCCUCAUAGCUCCUCUAAGUCCGCGGCUAGCAGAGGAGGAGGAGAACGAGGAGGAGAGCCAAGCGAAAGAGGCUGUCGCGGGAGGGACGAGGGGAGCGCCUCAUGAGUGUUCUGUUUGUCUCAGGGACAUGAAGACCAAGCAGCGGCUGAUGGUCCACUUCAGGGUCCACACGGGAGAGAGGCCCUUCAGGUGUGAGUUAUGCAGCUGUGCCUUCGCACAGGUGGGAAACCUCCAAUGUCACGUGAAAAGCAAGCAUCCGCUGGCGAUCCCAGAACCCAGUGGUGGCCGCAUGCGCCGAAAAUCCUCAAAAAAGGUUGCCAUGGCGGGCGACGGCACUCCUAGCCCCCCCAAGGCAGCAGAGGUAAACGCUUCUGUUGGUUUCCAGGGAGCCAACAAAGCUCUGAGCGAUUCUAGGAACGCUAGCAAUGCUCCUGCUGAAUCCAGGCUAGCGGCCUCUGAAAACCUUGACAUUGACCGCACUGCGGGCAUUGAAUUGACUAACGUGGCUACCAUUGCUAAUGACGUUGUUGGUCGUGAACCCUCCAGUUUCCCAACUGACUUCCCAAGGAGUAGGGACUUCAGUGCUUGGGACGUCCACAAUGCCAUGGAGCUCAACCCAGUCAUGGAGGUCGAUGAUGCCAAGGGAAAGGGCCUGGAGGAGGCGGUGGGUCCUGGCUUUCCUCCUGGACUCAUAGCUCCUCUUAGUCCGCAGCUAGCAGAAGAGGAGGCGGUGGGUCCUGGCUGUCCUCCUGGACUCAUAGCUCCUCUUAGUCCGCAGCUAGCAGAGGAGGAGGGGGUGGGUCCUGGCUGUCCUCCUGGACUCAUAGCUCCUCUUAGUCCGCAGCUAGCAGAGGAGGAGUCGGUCGAGGAGGCGGGCCGAGGAAGUAAGGCGAUGGCUGGAGUGACGACUGGACGGCCCUUUGAGUGUUCCAUUUGUCACAUUGACAUGAAGACCGAGCAGCAUCUCCAGAUCCACUCGAAACUCCACACCGGCUACUGGUGUGAGUUAUGCAGGAUUUCCUAUAAAUCGGGGAAAACCCUUCGCUUUCACAUGAAGCGGAAGCAUCCGCUGGCGAUCCCAGAACCCAUUGGUGGCCACGUGCCCUGCAAAUUCUCAAAAAAGGUUGCCAUGGCGGUCGGUAGCGCUCUUAGCCCCCCCAAGGCAGCAGAGGUAAACGCUUCUGUUGGUUCCCAGGGAGUGAACAAAGCUCUGACUGAUUCUAGGAAAGCUAGAGAUGCUCCUGCUGAUUCUAAGCUGGCUGGGAACGACAACAUUCAUAUUGACUGCGCUGCGAUCAUUGGAGAGACUACCGGGGCUAACAUUGCUAAUGACGUUGUUGGUCAUGAACCCUCCAGUUUUCCAACUGAUAGAGCGUUGAGUAGGGACUUUAGUGCUGGGGACGUCCACAACGCCAUGGAGCUCAAUGUCAUGGAGGUAAACCCCGACGUGGUGGUCAAGCCCAACGUGGAGGUCAACCCCAUCCCAGAGGUCAACCCCAUCCCGGAGGUCAACCCUGACGUGGUGGUCAAGCCCAACGUGGAGGUCAACCCCAUCCCAGAGGUCAACCCCAUCCUGGAGGUCAACCCCAACGUGGUGGUCAAGCCCAACGUGGAGGUCAACCCCAUCCCAGAGGUCAACGCCAACGUGGAGGUCAACCCCAUCCCGGAGGUCAACCCCAUCCCAGAGGUCAACCCCAUCCCAGAGUUCAACCCCAACGUGGUGGUCAAGCCCAACGUGGAGGUCACUCCCAUCCCAGAGGUCACCCCCACCCCGGAGGUCAACCCCAACGUGGAGGACAAUGGCGUUGAAGGGGUCAAUGAUGCCAAGGGAAAGGGCCUGGAGGAGGCGGUGGGUCCUGGCUGUCCUCCUGGACUCAUAGCUCCUCUUAGUCCGCAGCUAGCAGCGGAGGAGGCGGUCGAGGAGGAGGGCCGAGGAAGUAAGGCAAUCGCUGGAGUGAGGACGGGGACGCCCUUUGAGUGUUCUUUUUGUCACAUGGACAUGAAGACCAAUCAGCUUCUCCAGAUCCACUUAAUAGUCCACACGGGGCGCUACAGGUGUCAGUUAUGUGGCAUUGCCUACAUAACGGUGGGAUCCCUUACGAAUCACAUGAGGCUGAAGCAUCCGUCCAUUUCGAGUUUCCCCACGGCAGCAGACGCUUAUGUUGGUUUCCAGGAAGCCACCAAAUCUCAGACUGAUUCUAAGCAAGCUAGCUCCGGAGAGGCUAAUGUUUCUAACAUUGACAACACUGCUAGCUCCGGAGAGGCUAAUGUUUCUAACAUUGACAGCACUGCUAGCUCCGGAGAGGCUAAUGUUUCUAACAUUGACAGCACUGCUAGCUCCGGAGAGGCUAAUGUUUCUAACAUUGACAGCACCGUUAGCUCCAGAGAGGAUAAUAUUUCUGACAUUGACAGCACCGCGAGUUCGAGAGAGGCUAAUGUUUCUAACAUUGACAGCACCACUAGCUUCGGAGAGGCUAAUGUUUCUAACAUUGACAGCACCACUAGCUUCGGAGAGGCUAAUGUUUCUAACAUUGUCAGCACUGCAAGCUCCGGAGAGGCUAACAUUGCAAACGGUUCUGCCUUUGGUUUCAAGGAAGCUAGCAAAGCUCCUACUUAUUAUAAGCAUGGUGGUUACGACAUUGGCAUUGACAGCGUUGUUGACGAGGUCAACGGCAUUAUGGAGGUCAACCCGAUCACGGAGGCCAAUGAUAUCAAGGGGGAGUUCAAAGACAUCACAGAGGUCAAUGACGUCUCUGAACUCAAUGUUGUCAGGGAGGCUUCCAAUGAUGUUAAGACGAAGGUCUAUGGUGUCAUGGAGCUCAAUCAUAUGGAGGACACAAACGCUGUGGUUGGCAGUGAUAUCACAGUUCUCACCAGGAGAACCCGGAGAGACCAUCGGGAGCAGAGGAAAGACUUCUUCUGUCUUGAGUGUUUAGAGUGUUUCCGCAUGGAGGAAGAUCUCAUGAAACACGAAUACGAGAAGCACCCGCAUGGGGAACAACCCGAAAGCAACGACGACAACAGUAGAAGCCCGGAGCCGUUUGUUCAUCAACUGAGGUGGAGCUCUGAAGAAAACCUCUUGGCGCUUAGCACAGACUCGGAGCCAAUGAACUCUGGCGAAGUCGAGACGAAACAGACAUUGCGGCAAGGUCGAAAGAGGAAAGCUAGUUCCCCCAGACUUUCCGAAAUCCCAGUGGAAAGGUCGACGGGGAAACGUAAAGUAAAAAAGAGAGUGCCAAAGAGUUACACAGGCUCUGGAGCCAGGGGCGGAAUGGAUGCUCCCAAGCCUGCGUUUGGAGAGAUCCAUAUUCAGGGCAGACCCCAGAAGGUUCCACAACCCGUGGAGAAAUACUUUAAAUGUGUCAGAAUGAGUGCACGGAGCUGGCCCUGCAAAACUGCACUGCAAAACUCAACAGAUACACAAGGAAGACCGACGGAUACAACAGCUGGCCAGACAGAAACACCAGGCAGGCAGACACACACACCAGACACAUUGGCCAGAAGGAUAGACCAACCAGACAGACAGAUGGACACACCAAACAGACAGACAGACACACUGGCCAAACGCACGUGCACAAUGACCGACAACCAAGGCAGGCAGACAAUCACACAGCCAGUGAAUGACGGUGACGGUGAAACCAGUAAAGAGUACCCGGUUGGAGUGGAAGCCAGCAGAGAAGAGAGACACACUGGAACAGAGAGACAGGAAACAGGCUCAACGUCUGAAGCCCCAGAAAGAGUCAACACGCUGGACGGAAAUAUGCCAGGCUUCCUAAAGCCCUGCUCCGUCAAGCUCUUCUGUUUGCCACAGCAUACUCUAGAGGCGCAUCGCAUUAAGGGAUUGAAAGGAACUCUAUUCUAG